Long non-coding RNA from Mustela erminea (ermine), 98 nucleotides. RefSeq lists it as uncharacterized. The record is from RefSeq and is a predicted model, not a curated record. Lineage: Eukaryota; Metazoa; Chordata; Mammalia; Carnivora; Mustelidae. The transcript has 3 exons.
GUUUUUUGAAAAAUACAAAAUCUGGCGCUUGCUGCGGCAGCACAUACACUACAAUUGGAACGGUACAGAGAAGAUUAGCACAGCCCCUGCGCAAGGAU